Molecule: non-coding RNA, 5329 nt
Organism: Chelonoidis abingdonii (Abingdon island giant tortoise)
Lineage: Eukaryota; Metazoa; Chordata; Testudines; Testudinidae
Source: RefSeq, a predicted model, not a curated record
CAGCAUGCACUCGGUGCCUCCGAGGAAGGCGGAGGGGGGCCGAGAGGAGCAGCAGCGGCCGGUGAAGCAGUCCCUCAGUAAGUCCCUCUGCAGAGAAUCCCACUGGAAAUGUCUGCUCCUCUCCCUUCUCAUGUAUGGCUGCAUGGGAGCUAUGACCUGGUGCCAUGUGACCAAGGUCACCCGACUGACCUUUGACAGUGCCUACAAGGGCAAGUCCAUGAUGUAUCACGAUAGCCCCUGCUCCAAUGGCUAUGUUUACAUCCCCCUGGCCUUCCUGGUGAUGCUGUACGUGGUCUACCUGGUGGAGUGCUGGCACUGCUACACCCGCAACGAGCUGCAGUACAAGGUGGACGUGGACAGCGUACAUGAGCGGGUGCAGAGAAUGCAGCAGGCCACCCCGUGCAUCUGGUGGAAAGCCAUCAGCUACCACUAUGUCCGGAGGACCCGGCAGGUCACCCGCUACCGCAAUGGGGAUGCCUACACCACGACCCAGGUGUAUCACGAGAGGGUGAACACUCAUGUGGCGGAGGCCGAGUUUGACUACUCCAACUGUGGGGUGAAGGACAUCUCCAAGGAUCUGAUGGACCUGGAGAGCUACCCAGCCACUCGGCUCCGCUUCACCAAAUGCUUCAGCUUUGCCAACGUGGAGUCCGAGAACUCCUACCUGACCCAGCGCGCCCGUUUCUUCACCGAGAACGAGGGGCUGGACGACUACAUGGAGGCCAGGGAGGGGAUGCACCUCAAGAAUGUGGAUUUCAAGGAAUACAUGGUGGCCUUUUCAGACCCAGAUAACCUUCCCUGGUACGUGUCCCACUACGUCUUCUGGGUGGCUGCCCUGCUGACCCUGUCCUGGCCCCUGCGGGUGCUGAAUGAGUACCGCACCUCCUACGUCCAUUACCACGUGGAGAAGCUCUUUGGGUUUGACUUUGUGGCUGUAACCCCAGCUGAGGAGCGCUCCUUCUGCAGGAGGAUGCCCCGUGUCAACACAGUGGACAGCACUGAGCUGGAGUGGCACAUCCGGUCCAACCAGCAGCUAGUGCCCAGCUACUCAGAGGCUGUCCUGAUGGACUUGGUGGGGCUCUCCAGCUGCACCAGCUACUCUGCUUGCAGGUACGGGGGCUACCGGCAGAACUGCGAGCGGUGCCAUAGGACUAUAAGCAGCUCAUCCAUCUUCUCCCGCAGCGCCCUGAGCAUCUGCAACGGCAGCCCAAGGAUCCCUUUCAGCAGCAGCCGCUUCUCGCUGGGCCGCCUCUAUGGCUCCCGGCGCAGCUGCCUCUGGCAGAGUCGGAGUGGGAGCCUGAACGAGCAGAGCUGCCCAACUGAGCAAACCCGGCUUUCCAGCCAGGUCACAGUGGAGGAGGAGGACCCUCCUGCUUACCAGGAUGCCCUCUACUUCCCCGUCCUUAUUGUGCACCGCAACGAGGGCUGCCUCAACCACGACCACCGUCACCUCCAUCGGAACGGGUCCUGCAUGGAGACCUCACUGUGAGUGGAGGGCGGCGAGGAUCUCCCUCUUGAUCACCAUGUCUCCAGACACAGGGACUUCGGAAGGGAGGGGAUAGCCAGGAAAAUGAGGCACCAGUGCCCCGCUCAGCAUGUGGGAUGGAGAGGUCACUGCCUCUUGGUCUCCAAGGAUAGGCUCAACAGCUUCUGCAUUUGCCACAUGGCCCCUUUGAUGUCACAGAGGAGAGGGUGGCAGCAGGAUGGGUGAGCAGCAGCGCCACCUGUGGCAUGGCACAAAAUGACAGGACUGACGGCCACAUGCAGAAAAUGGUAAAAAAGAAAGGACUGAAGGAGGGAGCUGGGUGCUGUAGUUCCACGCUCUGCCUCGAAAGGCCCCCACUGGUUGGAACAGUGCUAAAUGACAACUACCGCCCACCACCCUGCUGCACCUGUGACCUCUGCCCCUCUCCCCCAGCGCUGCAGACUUGCUCUCCCACAGAGGGGUCCUGCACGGGGCCAAGAGGAGCAAGGCCUGGCAGCACAUUCCCUUUGAAGCAGUGAUUAACUCCUCAUGCGCCAAAGAUCCUGGGGCACCCGGGCCCAUAGAGCUGAAGGGCAGUUUAGAGGAAAUGCUCAAGACCACAAGGCCAACUCUUUCGCCCUUUUGUUGAGACUGUGCUCUGACUGUUACACUGUCCUCAGCUGCUGGGAGGGGCAUUGCCACCAGAUGGCUCUUUAGAAAGCCUCAGCACUCCAGGGCCAAGAAUCAGCAUCCCCUAGGUAAAGCUUAAAGCAUUCCUAGGACUUUUUUCCAUUUGGAGUUGCAAAGAGCAGGAAGCAACAGGGAAUCUACUGAGGAAAGGCCAGACCUGCCGUUAGAGCACAGUCACAUCAUGAAGCCAGUAGGUCUGGCAGGAGAAGGCCCAGCCUGCAAACCAAACCACGGAGACCUGGGUGUGCUGGGAGUUUUCGAGAAGCCAAAGACACCCGAUGGGGAAGGGGUCUUUGAGCCUUUACAAGUCACGUUUUGAAGCUCUUCUUCCCAACCACAAGGACUUAGAACUUUCUUUUUUCUUUAAACGAAAGCAGAGACCUUCACCAUAUAAAGUGAUCCCCAAGAGCUGGAGCUUGAUGAAGAACACUAACAAUCACAGGAGUUGACAACACUGCAUUUCAGAUCUGAUUCUUGACAAUCCAGGGCAGUGCUGACAGCCAGCAAAUUUUCACUAUGGAAAAUGUAAAGGCUAUUGUUUGUUUGACUUUUUUUUAAAAAACCUCUUUUAAAAAUACUCACAAUCCAGAGAAAUAGCCCUUUGCUGCCCUUUGUUUUGCAAAUAAUUAGUUAACUUUUCUCAUCUUUUCCCUGUGUUCAGAUUAGGCUGAAGCAGCAAUUGAGGGCACAGGUGAUUUUCUCUACUCACUGCUUGGGAAGCAGGCAGGGGGAAGAGCAUUGCAUAUGCUCAGUGGUGACACUCCUUAAGAAGAGCGAGAUGGCUGACACUGCGCAUGUGAGUGGCCUUUACAUGCAGGCCCCCAAUCUGCAACUGGCUCUACAGGAGUGGUCCUCUGUACCUACGCAGAGUCCACUAGGGGACUGCCUGUGGGAUUCAACUGUAAGAUUGGGCCUUAAUCUUUAAGAAGACAAAAAGGGUGAUAAGCCAAGUCGCUCCUGGUUUCGGGCAAUAACAGUAUAAUAUCGUCCCCAUUGUUUAAGUAUUACUCCAGUGGUGAAAUCACAUCCUUAGCCUUUUGUUCCAGCCAUUCUGAUUACAACCUUGGUAAUUUCUGUUUAAUUAUCACACAAGUGAUGCUUUACAGCUGUCAAGUUUAAAACCAGGUAGUGGAGCUGAUACUGUCCUGCAGUAUACAGUGAGAAGUGCAGUAUGUGUGGUGGAGAUCUGAACUAUUACUGCGCCAGCCAGAAAGCAUAUUACCCAACCAUGGGCUGCCACAGAGCUCCACACAGAAUGAAUGCUUUUUAAAAAAUUAAAUUAGUCUGUGUUGAAGAAAAUAAAAUAUAUGGCUACUUGGCUCCAUGCUAUCCCAAUAAAUGGCCUGUGAUUUAAACAUCAGGCCAGUGGUAUAUUCCAACUGAAAUGCACAUGUUGGCACAGAGUUCGCAUAGCCUGGCUGCGUGAUAUGUUGGGUCAUAUAAAAUUUGGAACAUAGGGUUGUUUUUUUCUCCUCCCCCUUGUGGGCACUGUUAACUUGAAUGGAUAUAAUGGGCAUUUUGGAAAGAAGGGAAAGGGGUCUAGCCAAGGUGCAGGUAGAAAUUAAUGGGCUGUGUUGAAGCCAGUGGAGCUACACAAGGGUGAAUAUGGCCCAUCUUUUCCACUUGCCCUUGAAUCCAGACUAAUCAAUCCCUUGCAAUAGUUAUUUUAUGCCUGGAAUUAACAUUGGGAUUUUGGUGAAUAAAUCACCUUCCAGAAUCUACCUGAUCUUCAGCAACGGGCUUGUGAGAUCCAGGUACCCCUGUGGCCAACCUGUUGUCAGGAGGUUCUGCCUCCUCCCUCCGUCAUGGAACCUAGAGUUACACUUUGAAGGGGAAUGUUAUGCCCAAGGAUUUGAUCUCGUCAGCUGCACUGAAACAAACAAAUUGACCACUGCCAUCUAGGGCCAGGAGCCUUUUUCCAAACAUCAACUCUUCCCAGCCAGGACAUGGCAUUUUCCACAGCCUUCCUGCCUACAAGUUCCAAGGUCUAAACUAAACUUGGAAGAAGCCUUAGGUACCUCCCCUUCUUGUUCUUGCCAUGCCUGGUCUGUCUUGGGGAAGUCCAAGGAGAUCAUCUUCCUGCAAUCCACAGCCAGUCUCUACCAGCAGGUACAUCACCCACCUAUGCAACACUUUCAGAAACUGCUGAGGCUUCAGGAGUCCAUACCAAUGUGCAGUAUGUGCUUCUGGCACUGGUGACAAGCUCAGCGGCCCUUGGAAACCAAUUGGUAGUUAGCGGUAGUGUUUUGUUUUUUUAAGACGUUUAAUGGGGAAAAUGAGACUUUAUGGGAAUACAUGUGCCCUUCUGGAAACAUCACCAGUUCUUGGAACUUUGGGGAUUUUGUAGAUCACCCACUGUGAUUAGACUUUAGUGGACUUUGUGGACCAAACACACACACGGAUCGCUCACUCUCCAUCAGUGCAAGCAGCUUCUGCAAUCUUAGCUAUUCACUUAGUGAAAGAAACACAACAUAGCUACAAUGUGUCAAGAUGAUUUAGUAUUUGUAUCAGUCACAUGAUUCUACUGUCCAUUAGCUGCACUGUCAGCUGACAUCUAAUGAGUUCUGACUUUGGAUGGCAGCCCUUGAAGCAAUCAGGGUGAAAAGGAUUCAAAACACAGGCCUGAGAAUACAAACAAGUCUCCAGAAGCAGGAGCAGAUGCAGGAGAUCAGGUGAUAACAGAUGGAUUCUUCUUCUUCAAGUUAAGGAGAGAGUUUUUUCAUCAGAUUUUUCUUCUGGGGAACAAUUGGCCCUGAGUGAUGAGAUUGGAUGUGGGGAGGUGAAGGUGGGAGAAUGACAUAAUAGAUUCUGGGCAAGUCAACGCUACAGUGCUACAUAGGCACAGCUGCACCAAUGCAGCUGAGCUGCUAUAGCGCAUCCGGUUUAGAUGUACUAUGCUGACGAGAGAACGCUCUCCCAUCGGCAUAAUUACUGCACCUCAGUGAGAAGCUUAAGCUAUGUCAGUGGGAGAGCGUCUCGCACCGACAGCUCCAGUGUGGACAGCGCAAAACUUGUGUCACUGGGGGGCGCUUUUUCACAGCCCUGAGCAGUGUAAGUUAGACCGACUUAACUGGUAGUGUAGACCUGCCCUCUGAGAGAGACAUGAUGAGAUAACAGCUUUUAUUGGAUCAACUUCUGUUGGAGAAAGAGACAAACUUUCAAGAAGAGCUCUGU